Mustela erminea (ermine) is the source of this 2194-nucleotide long non-coding RNA. RefSeq lists it as uncharacterized. Lineage: Eukaryota; Metazoa; Chordata; Mammalia; Carnivora; Mustelidae. The transcript is spliced from 4 exons. The record is from RefSeq and is a predicted model, not a curated record.
CCACCUUAAUUUCUCUCGUAACUUUUUCGGCUCCUCGGCUUGUAGCUUCUCGAGCUUUUUCUGAUUCGGGCGGUGCUCAUGGCCGCUCUGUUUUUGUUCCCUCUUGGGAAGCGUCUCCUCUCUUUUUCUUUCUCUCUCCCCUUUUUAUUCUUUGUCUUUUCCUUGGCUCCGUGCCUCUCCUCUGCCUCUUUCUCUUGGCGCUUUUAUCGUCUUUGCUCCUCCAGCUCCUGAAGUUUCUGCGCCUCGAGCUGCUGUUUCUUCGGCGAGGCGUCACUCAGGUGUUCGGAAUCCAGAGGAACCUUCCGGAGCAGACGGUGGUCUGGCGCUGCUCGCCUUUCCACGGGAGGUUCAGGCGGCCCAGGGCUUGGAUGAAGCCCACAGGCGUACUCGCGGCAUGCGCCUUGGCCUGGAAGUUCAGGUGUCCCCGAAGUUGAAGGUGUGGAAGUUCCGGCCUGUCAUCUCCUCCUCUUGUGGGUCCAGCACGGGGAUGUCCAUGUUCCCCUAUCUCCCCACCUUCUCAAGCACCUUGACCAUGACCUGCUCUCUGGGCCAACUCUUGCGCAUUUUGCAGGGCGGCCCCUCCAGGUGACUCGUGCCCGGCUUCUCUUCCGGCAGCAUUUCAUUCUCUAACUUUGUGUCAUGGGAGAAAGAAUCCCCUGGCAUGUGGGGAAAUUGGUUUUGAACUUGGCGGCGCGCACCUUGCGGACUUGAGGGAAGCUGCCAAGCUUAAUGACCUUGCCAUGGAGGCAGGCCAGGAAAGACGUGAAACGAUUUUUGCCUAAUUUGCCCUCCAAGCAGAUGAGGUCCAUGGUGUCCUUGGAAAUCGCAGAGUGGAGAACUGGAGAUUGUGCACCAUGGCCUUAAGUCUUUCCAGCCCCUGCCUGCUGGAUGGACUUCCCCUGCUGCUUAAGCCUUGGAGGGCCACUCUGAUGGUCACCUUCAUGGUGGGCUGGAAAUAGAGGCCUACAGAGGACAGAGCUCCUCUGUCUCAUAUGUGUCAUGGACUGUUCUAGAGGUGGCCUUAGCCCAGCAAGCUUGGCCUCCCUGCCCGGCACCAUCACCGUUUGCUUGAAGUGCCCUUGGAGCCACUGGCCGCUGUCACUGCCCAUCUCUAUGACUGUGCUGAGUGCUGGAGAUACAGAGCCUUAUCAAGAAGAGAAGUCUAAGGGAGAACAGAUUGGUGGUUGCCAGAAGCAGAGGGUGAAGGGUGUCAAAAGAGAUUGUCUAGCUCAGGUUCAAAGAUGAAUCUAUGUUAUUAAAAUGGAAGAAAAUGGCGCUCUUUCUUUCUAAAGGAUAUCCCUUCUCCAAGAAGACUCUUGGGAAAAUCCAAGGGAAACCAGGCAUGCGUGGGGAGAAAUGGAUCAGCGAUUUGAAUUAGAGAAUGCUACGGAAGACUGGCGAGGACUGUUCAUUGUACGGUGGGGGUUUCAACUCGGUCACCACAUUGCUUUCUUCUCAAAGAGUUGUCUUAGGCUUCAGCCAAUGGAGUCAUUUCUGCAAAGGAAAACCCCCAAACUUGGGGGUUUGUGAAUAACAUGCCAAAUAAAUUAGAUUAAUUAGGCACUUCUUUGCUUGAGUUUCUUUCUCCCACCAUGGUUUAUCUCUUUAUUUGUGACCCUGAGAAGCCAAGGAGAGGCCACAUCCUAUGUAACUAGAAACAUGGUUGCUGAAGGUAUCCCUUGCCAGACAGCUAACGACCAGAGGAAAAGAUGCUUGUCCUUUCCUUAAACUUGGCUUUACUGGUGGUAACAAUGACAUUCCUGCUGAAAAAAUCAAGAGGUGUGAGAAAAAAGAGAAAAAAAAAAACUAGGUCAACUCUUAAGGUAACAAAAAAAAAAAAUGUGGCAUACCCAAGCUGCAUCCCAGACAGCCUUCUUCACAAGGCACACAUUCUCCAUAGUCUGGGUCUUGAACUUCACCUAUAUAGGAAGAGUGAGAAAUAACGAUUCAUUUUUGCUGAGUGGAGAUGCGUUCAUUGCUAUGAAAAUAUGUUGGCAUGUAACUUGUUUUCUGCCCUUUCCUUUUCUCAGAGAUAAUGAAUUUUAAUUCUUUUAGCUGUUGCUUUGUUUUUAACCUCCAAAUGUCUAAAUGACAUGAUUAUGAUGCCUCUUGAUUUUAUUCUUAGGCAUUACCUGUAAUGGUAAAGACUAGCUUUGUUUCACCACCAUUCCAACAGACAUAGACAUACUUUCCA